ACGCAUGGAUCCUCCUUGGAACGACGCCGUUUUAAAGCUUAUUGUUUUAAGCUAAACGACAUCGUUUUAAUAAGGCUAUAUAAGCCAAUUUUUAGCUUAAAAAAUCACUUUUAACCUGGUUUUUUUUUUUUAAAAAAAAGAAAAUCCUCUGAAAGAGGAAUGGGGAAGGGGCUCUCAGCGCUCCGUUGAGCUUCCGUCUCCGACCUUUCACGCGCCCACGCGCCGCCACAUACGAUGGCUCAGAAGGCUAAAAACCUUCUUUCUUCUGGGUAAAACACAGGUUAAUGGCGCAAUCUUCGGCGGUGGGUCAUGAUCCAUGCGCCGAUUGCGGCGUGGCAUGGGAACUGGAACCACAGCGCUGAUGGUGGCUACUGGAACGACGUGAUUCGAAAAGGCGCGUCUUUCGGGAUGAUUGUGGAGCCUAGGGUUUCUGAAACCCUAGGCUUCUCUGUAUUCUGCUAAUAUCUUGGGCCGUUUGGGCUCUGUGUACUUUGGGUUGAGGGUGUAAAUGGGUCUACUGGGUAGUUGGGUUUAUUGGGUUAUUGGUAUUUGGGCUACUGGGUUACAAGUUAUAACCGGUCUGCUAGGUCUAGGUUAAAUGGUUCAAUUAAUUUGGGCUUUUGUAAACUGGACUGUAAUAGACGUUUUAAAUAAAUAAAUAUUUAUUUAUCCAA
Gossypium arboreum is the source of this 674-nucleotide long non-coding RNA. RefSeq lists it as uncharacterized. The transcript is spliced from 2 exons. NCBI's taxonomy places the organism in Eukaryota, Viridiplantae, Streptophyta, Magnoliopsida, Malvales, Malvaceae. The record is from RefSeq and is a predicted model, not a curated record.